Molecule: ribosomal RNA, 322 nt
Filed under: Cladophialophora bantiana
Lineage: Eukaryota; Fungi; Ascomycota; Eurotiomycetes; Chaetothyriales; Herpotrichiellaceae
Description: LSU rRNA
Rfam family: Eukaryotic large subunit ribosomal RNA
Source: RNAcentral
AGACCGAUAGCGAACAAGUAGAGUGAUCGAAAGAUGAAAAGCACUUUGAAAAGAGAGUUAAACAGUAUGUGAAAUUGUUGAAAGGGAAGCGCUUACAACCAGACUUGAGCGCGGCGGUUCCCCCUUGCUUCUGCUUGGGUUACUCCGCCGUGUCCAGGCCAACAUCGGUUCUGGGGGUCGGUCAAAGGCCCUGGGAAUGUAUCUACCUACGGGUAGACUUAUAGACCAGGGUGUCAUGCGGCCUCCCGGGACCGAGGAACGCGCUCCGGCUCGGAUGUUGGCGUAAUGGUUGUCAGCGACCCGUCUUGAAACACGGACCAAG